RNAcentral lists this ribosomal RNA (491 nucleotides) under uncultured bacterium. RNAcentral describes it as "bacterial SSU rRNA". It matches the Rfam family "Bacterial small subunit ribosomal RNA", at positions 28 to 507 of the family's 1533-position model. The record is from RNAcentral.
GAUGAACGCUAGCUACAGGCUUAACACAUGCAAGUCGAGGGGCAGCAUGACGAUAGCUUGCUAUUGUCGAUGGCGACCGGCGCACGGGUGAGUAACGCGUAUCCAACCUUCCCGUUGCUAGGGGAUAACCUUGCGAAAGUAAGACUAAUACCCUAUGAUGUUCUUCGCAGGCAUCUAAAGAGAACGAAAGAUUUAUCGGCAACGGAUGGGGAUGCGUCUGAUUAGGUUGUUGGCGGGGUAACGGCCCACCAAGCCCACGAUCAGUAGGGGUUCUGAGAGGAAGGUCCCCCACAUUGGAACUGAGACACGGUCCAAACUCCUACGGGAGGCAGCAGUGAGGAAUAUUGGUCAAUGGACGGAAGUCUGAACCAGCCAAGUAGCGUGCAGGACGACGGCCCUAUGGGUUGUAAACUGCUUUUAUGUGGGAAUAAAGUGAGGGACGUGUCCCCUUUUUGUAGGUACCACAUGAAUAAGGACCGGCUAAUUCCGUG